Long non-coding RNA from Molossus molossus (Pallas's mastiff bat), 498 nucleotides. RefSeq lists it as uncharacterized. NCBI's taxonomy places the organism in Eukaryota, Metazoa, Chordata, Mammalia, Chiroptera, Molossidae. The record is from RefSeq and is a predicted model, not a curated record. The transcript has 4 exons.
GGACACCACAGACAUAGAGGAUAGUGUUCUUGCCCUUUAACAACAGUUUACUUGGGAAGCAAUUACAUAACAUGGAGGAUUCUGAUCAACUUUAUUUUGCCUGUUUUCUUCUCUGUGAAAUGAGGGAAUUGGAAAAAGUUCCCUUCCAACUCCAUUACGAUGAUGCAGUACAAAUUCUGAGGAUUUCAAGCAGAUGGCAGAAACCCCUGUUCACCACUGGACACUUGAAGGACAUAGGAGCAUACUUUCUGGAAUUGACGAGCAGAGGAAUAGAAAAAAAUGAGACAAAGCCAAUUCUCUAGGUCUGCACACAAGAGAACAUCUACACCUGGAAAAGAAAGAACUAAGAACCAAGAUAUCAACCAAACAACUCAACUGAGUAAAGCACAAAGCAGUGACAACCCACAGGAUGCCACCUCACCUGGUUUCCAGAGAGAGACGUUACACCUGUCACUGACUGCUGCCCGCUACCUGCAGUCCAAAGAAAGAAAAGGUGAG